AGUGAACGCUGGCGGUAGGCCUAACACAUGCAAGUCGAACGGCAGCACAGUAAGAGCUGGCUCUUACGGGUGGCGAGUGGCGGACGGGUGAGGAAUACAUCGGAAUCUACUUUUUCGUGGGGGAUAACGUAGGGAAACUUACGCUAAUACCGCAUACGACCUACGGGUGAAAGCAGGGGAUCUUCGGACCUUGCGCGAUUGAAUGAGCCGAUGUCGGAUUAGCUAGUUGGCGGGGUAAAGGCCCACCAAGGCGACGAUCCGUAGCUGGUCUGAGAGGAUGAUCAGCCACACUGGAACUGAGACACGGUCCAGACUCCUACGGGAGGAAGCAGUGGGGAAUAUUGGACAAUGGGCGCAAGCCUGAUCCAGCCAUACCGCGUGGGUGCAGAAGGCCUUCGGGUUGUAAAGCCAUUUUGUUGGGAAAGAAAAGCAGCAGGUUAAUACCCCGCUGUUCUGACGGUACCCAAAGAAUAAGCACCGGCUAACUUCGUG
RNAcentral lists this ribosomal RNA (492 nucleotides) under uncultured bacterium. Its description in RNAcentral is "partial 16S ribosomal RNA". It matches the Rfam family "Bacterial small subunit ribosomal RNA", at positions 29 to 507 of the family's 1533-position model. The record is from RNAcentral.